Gossypium arboreum is the source of this 552-nucleotide long non-coding RNA. RefSeq lists it as uncharacterized. The transcript is spliced from 2 exons. The record is from RefSeq and is a predicted model, not a curated record. Lineage: Eukaryota; Viridiplantae; Streptophyta; Magnoliopsida; Malvales; Malvaceae.
UUUGUGCAAAUCGUGAUAUCCGGGUUAAGUCCCGUAGGCCUUGGUGCGGGUUACCAUAACCGGGCUAUGUCCCGAAGGCGAUUGAACGAGUAGCGAUAUCCGGUUAAACUCCGAAGGUAUGUGAUUUGAAAAUUAUAAGCUUGCUGGAAAAUUUUAGCUAAUGCACUUGUGAAAUUUCCCAAUGACAAGGUAAGUGUGGUGUGUGCUUUGCGCGCUAGGAGUAAGAGCGUAUGCAUAUCCGCUCCUAUGAUGGAACGAGUUAUCGGCCUUAACGAAGCCGUUAUUUGUGUAUGAACCUAAGAGUUGGGAUGGUGAAAUUUUGCUCGAUAGCAAUCGGAUUCGGGAUCAUUAAAGUCGAAGUCAUCCACACUAUCAACGCCUCUAUUUUGGUAUAAAUUUUGGUUGAACUUUGAAAUGGCAUGUAUAGGACUACCCCUUGUUGGUUUAAAAAUGUGGUGAUGUAUAUGUGUACGGCCAUGCGAAAACGGCUCGUAAAAGUGAAGAAUGAACUUAGACUAUUUGCGGUUUGUAUAUAUAUAUAUGGUGUCAUGA